Xenia sp. Carnegie-2017 is the source of this 1168-nucleotide long non-coding RNA. RefSeq lists it as uncharacterized. The record is from RefSeq and is a predicted model, not a curated record. The transcript is spliced from 2 exons. NCBI's taxonomy places the organism in Eukaryota, Metazoa, Cnidaria, Anthozoa, Malacalcyonacea, Xeniidae.
UCAUGCGAUAUACUCAUUGUCAUACAACAAGUACCAGUUUGUACCUUUCUAACCCUCCGCUGGUAAAAUUCUAAUUGACUCUUUUUUACGAAUUUUAAAACCAAGGCAGAAACUUGCCCCGUUAUUAAGAAUACGAGAUGCCAUGCAGAUACGCGACUGGACUUAUUCAUGAAAAUAAGAUUCAUAAUAUUGGUUUGAUAUCUAUUUAGCUUCAUCAAAAUGACAAAGUUUAUCCUUCGUUUACAUGGUAAUCUUUUACAACACAACAUAUAUUUAACCUAUUUGGUUUUAAUGUCUUACUAUAACCUAUGCACAUGUACUUUGUCAUCUCUGUAUGAAAAAGACCAUAUGUUGGAGUACUCAGAGCCGAAACAUUCUAUUGCCACUGGUGUUAAAUAUAUGUAUAAUUUAUAGUAUUAGGCUGAAAAAAGCAUAAAUUUUAAUUGCACACAUUUACACUGUACACACUUCACAGAAAGGACAGAAAAGAGAAGAAGAAUGGUAGAAGUAUGAAAAAUGCUAGUGGGUGUUCACCUUUGAAUUAUGAAUGCUUUUGUUAUAUGUAAGCUUCAAUGAUUAUUUUGCAUUUUGGCUAUAUCAUAUAUAUAAAUUGUGCUAAAAUCAUGCUACUGUUUGAUGUUGUUUUAGUUUUCUAGUGAUUUGUAAACAAUAUUGUUAUAUUUUAUGUAUAACAUAUACCCAUCAUCCUGAGCCUCAAGGGCUGCAAUUCAUUCAUCAUAAGUUAUACAUAUAAGUAAAAAUUUUCCAACUUUUUAUUUUUAUGUCAAAAGAAACAAAGAAUCAAUACAUGCCUUAAAAGUUGAUGUUCUUCAUUUUCCGUCCAGUUUCUUGUUUGUUGGCGUUAAAAUGGGACAACCGUUUGCGAUAUCUUGUCGCGCAAGCUCAACGGAGUGGUCACAACUUCGUGCUGAAAACGGAAAAAUAUGAGCUAUUUCUUGCUUCCAAACCUUCCAAAGCAUUCAAGAAAGGACGAAACAAAGCAACAUUGUAAAAACGUUUGCUAGAAAUAUAGAAAACGGGGAAAUAAUACGACAAACUUUCAUCUUUCGCCAAGGUAUGGCGAAACAAACAACAAGCCAAAGUCCCUUGGAUGCUUUUCACAUUGAAAAUACAAUGAGACAAAACAAAAAAGUUUUCUAGACCACAA